This 408-nucleotide ribosomal RNA is filed under the name uncultured microorganism. RNAcentral's name for it is "bacterial SSU rRNA". It matches the Rfam family "Bacterial small subunit ribosomal RNA", at positions 509 to 917 of the family's 1533-position model. The record is from RNAcentral.
CAGCCGCCGCGGUAAUACGUAGGGUGCAAGCGUUAAUCGGAAUUACUGGGCGUAAAGCGUGCGCAGGCGGUUAUAUAAGACAGAUGUGAAAUCCCCGGGCUCAACCUGGGAACUGCAUUUGUGACUGUAUAGCUAGAGUACGGCAGAGGGGGAUGGAAUUCCGCGUGUAGCAGUGAAAUGCGUAGAUAUGCGGAGGAACACCGAUGGCGAAGGCAAUCCCCUGGGCCUGUACUGACGCUCAUGCACGAAAGCGUGGGGAGCAAACAGGAUUAGAUACCCUGGUAGUCCACGCCCUAAACGAUGUCAACUGGUUGUUGGGUCUUCACUGACUCAGUAACGAAGCUAACGCGUGAAGUUGACCGCCUGGGGAGUACGGCCGCAAGGUUGAAACUUAAAGGAAUUGGCGGG